GGGAUUGCCCUAGUAACGGCGAGUGAAGCGGCAACAGCUCAAAUUUGAAAUCUGGCGCAAGCCCGAGUUGUAAUUUGUAGAGGAUGCUUCGGCGUCGGCCCCGUUCUAAGUUCCUUGGAACAGGACGUCCUAGAGGGUGAGAACCCCGUCUUCGAUCGGGUCGCCGUCGCCAUGUGAAGCUCCUUCGACGAGUCGAGUUGUUUGGGAAUGCAGCUCUAAGCGGGAGGUAAAUUUCUUCUAAAGCUAAAUAACGGCCAGAGACCGAUAGCGCACAAGUAGAGUGAUCGAAAGAUGAAAAGCACUUUGGAAAGAGAGUUAAAAAGUACGUGAAAUUGUUGAAAGGGAAGCUCAAGCUGCCAGACUUGGCCGCGCCUCUUCGGUGGCGCGGGCAGGCCAGCAUCAGUCCGGGCGGCCUGAUAAAGACCUUUGGAAUGUAGCUCCCUCGGGAGUGUUAUAGCCUCGGGUGUAAUGUGGUCAGCCUGGACUGAGGAUCGCGUUCGCUAGGAUGCUGGCGUAAU
This 518-nucleotide ribosomal RNA is filed under the name Phaeococcomyces nigricans. Its description in RNAcentral is "eukaryotic LSU rRNA". It matches the Rfam family "Eukaryotic large subunit ribosomal RNA", at positions 71 to 635 of the family's 3401-position model. Lineage: Eukaryota; Fungi; Ascomycota; Arthoniomycetes; Lichenostigmatales; Phaeococcomycetaceae. The record is from RNAcentral.